This 503-nucleotide ribosomal RNA is filed under the name uncultured bacterium. RNAcentral describes it as "partial 16S ribosomal RNA". It matches the Rfam family "Bacterial small subunit ribosomal RNA", at positions 30 to 523 of the family's 1533-position model. The record is from RNAcentral.
AUUGAACGCUGGCGGCAGGCUUAACACAUGCAAGUCGAGCGGGGUGAUGGUGCUUGCACUAUCACUUAGCGGCGGACGGGUGAGUAAUGCUUAGGAAUCUGCCUAUUAGUGGGGGACAACAUCUCGAAAGGGAUGCUAAUACCGCAUACGUCCUACGGGAGAAAGCAGGGGAUCACUUGUGACCUUGCGCUAAUAGAUGAGCCUAAUUCGGAUUAGCUAGUUGGUGGGGUAAAGGCCUACCAAGGCGACGAUCUGUAGCGGGUCGUAGAGGAUGAUACGCCGCAUUGGGACGGCGACACGGACCAGAGUCCGACGAGAGGCAGCGUUGUGGAAUAUUGGACCAUGGGGAGAACCCUGGGCAAGCCAUGCCGCGUGUGUGAAGACGGCCUUAUGGUUGUAAAGCACAUUAAGCGAUGAGGAGUCUCUUUUGGUUAAUACCCAAGAUGAGUGGACGUUACUCGCAGAAUAAGCACCGGCUAACUCUGUGCCAGCCGCCGCCGUAU